This is a non-coding RNA of Mycena latifolia, 95 nucleotides long. Lineage: Eukaryota; Fungi; Basidiomycota; Agaricomycetes; Agaricales; Mycenaceae. The record is from the annotation of a GenBank genome assembly.
GUCUUGGUAGUGUAAUGGUAACAUGCCUGCUCCAAUUAGAUACUUGAUGAUGUACGUUUCAGCGGGAGUCCCUUGUUUGAUUCAAGGUCAGGACA